Balaenoptera acutorostrata (minke whale) is the source of this 566-nucleotide long non-coding RNA. RefSeq lists it as uncharacterized. NCBI's taxonomy places the organism in Eukaryota, Metazoa, Chordata, Mammalia, Artiodactyla, Balaenopteridae. The transcript is spliced from 3 exons. The record is from RefSeq and is a predicted model, not a curated record.
CGGGGGAGGCGGGUUUUCUCGGGCCCGCCCCGACCCGAGGAGGAGCAGAGGCCGCGCCGUCCCUCCCCUUCGCGGUCUCAGCACUCAGUGCCGCGCUCGGCGGCCCUGCUACCCCCUGGCCUCCUGUCGCCGUGUCUCCGUGCCUCUGCUUUAUUGACCCCAGCUCGCUGAAACAGAGAGUGAAUUAUAAUGACACACUGUCAAAUGUUGCACCAUCCUUGGAUUCCUGAGAUAACCCUACUCAGUUAAUGACAUUUUCGGGCUUCCCUGGCGGCGCAGUGGUUGAGAAUCUGCCUGCCAAUGCAGGGGACACGGGUUCAAGACCUGGUCUGGGAAGAUCCCACAUGCCAUGGAGCAACUAGGCCCGUGAGCCACAGCUACUGAGCCUGCGCAUCUGGAGCCUGUGCUCCGCAACAAGAGAGGCCGCGACAGUGAGAGGCCCGCGCACAGCGAUGAAGAGUGGCCCCCACUUGCCGCAACAGAGAAAGCCCUCGCACAGAAACGAAAACCCAACACAGCCAUAAAUAAAUAAAUAAAUAAAUAAAGGUUAAAAAAAAAAAAAAGAA